RNAcentral lists this unclassified non-coding RNA (1852 nucleotides) under uncultured fungus. RNAcentral describes it as "sequence contains 18S rRNA gene, ITS1, 5.8S rRNA gene, ITS2, 28S rRNA gene". The stretch from base 760 to 1852 matches the Rfam family "Eukaryotic large subunit ribosomal RNA", at positions 1 to 961 of the family's 3401-position model. Lineage: Eukaryota; Fungi. The record is from RNAcentral.
GGAAGGAUCAUUAACAAGGAAGGAAUGGUUGUUGCGGCGGGAGGGAGGAUGAUGGUGGUGGGAGGAGGAGAAUCAGUCACUGAUUGUGAUUGUGUUUGCUCUUUCCAUCCAUCCAUCUCUUCCCCCCUCGCACACCCAUCACAUUCACCCGAGCAGCCUUAUUGGCUGCUGGGAAGCAGGUCGUGAACGACUUGCAUAUAGACACGUGGAUGUAUGUUAUGUUAUGUUAGUAUAUUUAUUUAAAACAACUUUUAACAAUGGAUCUCUUGGCUCUUGCAACGAUGAAGAACGCAGUGAAAUGCGAAACGUAAUGCGAUUUGCAUAAUUCUGUGAGUCAUCGAGUUUUUGAACGCACCUGGCACUCUCUGUAACAGGAGAGUAUACCUGUUUGAGAAUCGAAAAAUAUGAUCAUUCUGGAAAAGGAUGGAAAUGAGGCGAUAGUUGGUGGAUGAGUGAUUGUGCAAACAGUUGGUCAUUUAUAAUUGUGCUUCUAAAUGGAUUAGGCAGAUGCAUUUCCACCAAUUCGAUGGUUGACACUAUGUGGUAGAGACAGUUAGUCUUGGAUCAUGGGUUGGUCAAGAAUUGGGUAGGUGAAAUGAGCCUUGUGUGUGGGGGGAGGUGGGUGGGUGGCGCGCGUGAUUUGCGAUGGUGUGAUUUUGCGACAUGCGGUAACGCAGGUUGCUUCUCGCAUCCCCGCACAUCACAUCACACCACACCACACCACACACAUCCCACACACUACUCUACACCACACACUUCCGAUCUCAAAUCAGGCAAGACUACCCGCUGAACUUAAGCAUAUCAGUAAGCGGAGGAAAAGAAACUAACAAGGAUUCCCCUAGUAACGGCGAGUGAAGCGGGAACAGCUCAAAUUUAAAAUUGGAGAAUUUGGUUCUCUGAAUUGUAGUUUAAAGAAAUGUUAUCUGGAAGUGGAAUGCGUUCAAGUUCCUUGGAAUAGGACAUCACAGAGGGUGAGAAUCCCGUCUGGACGCAAUUGUACUUGCUUGAUGAGACAUUUUCGACGAGUCGAGUUGUUUGGGAUUGCAGCUCAAAUGGGAGGUAAAUUUCUUCUAAAGCUAAAUAUUGGCAAGAGACCGAUAGCGAACAAGUACCGUGAGGGAAAGAUGAAAAGCACCUUGAAAAGGGAGUUAAAUAGUGCGUGAAAUUGUUAAAAGGGAAACGAUUGAAACCAGUAUGAAGAAUGGUGGUUCAGCAGGAAUCGACGGAAGAUGAUCGCAUGCAGAAUCUCUCUCGAGGUCUGUAUCGGUCGUUUGAACUGGAUGACUGUGCAUUCUGUUAUUUUUCAGUCAAAAUCAGUUUAGUUAGUUGAACAUUACUAAGAAAAAGAUGGUAUUAAUCUUCGGAUUAAUAUUUUAUAGAUUCAUAGUAGCACAAUUGGUUAGACUGAAUGAUUGAGUAAUUGUUGUAAUAAAUAAAUGAAUUUGAUUCAUUGAUUAAUUUGAACAGCUUGCUGAUUAGGUUAAUUCAAAGUACAAUGCAACUUAUUUAAUAAUAAUUACAAUUUUGACGAAAUGGUUUUAAACGACCCGUCUUGAAACACGGACCAAGGAGUCUAACAUGUAUGCGAGUAUUUGAGUGGUAAACUCGAAUGCGUAAUGAAAGUGAGCAGAUGGGAAUCUUUAUUGAUGCACCAUCAACCAAUCCACUGUUGUUGUAGAUUUGAGUAAUAGCAUACCUGUUGGGACCCGAAAGAUGGUGAACUAUACCUGAAUAGGGUGAAGCCAGAGGAAACUCUGGUGGAGGCUCGUAGCCGUUCUGACGUGCAAAUCGAUGGUCAAAUUUGGGUAUAGGGGCGAAAGACUAAUCGAACCAUCUAGUAGCUGGUUCCCUU